Drosophila willistoni is the source of this 262-nucleotide long non-coding RNA. RefSeq lists it as uncharacterized. NCBI's taxonomy places the organism in Eukaryota, Metazoa, Arthropoda, Insecta, Diptera, Drosophilidae. The record is from RefSeq and is a predicted model, not a curated record. The transcript is spliced from 2 exons.
AUAAUAAUUUUUAGCAUGUUUAAGGAUUUUUCAAACUUUUUUCAUCCCUGUCCAGUUGAGAAUGAUGUUGUUAUUAAAGAUUUUUAUUUGCGUUCCGAUCUGCUUCCAUUUCCCAUUCCAACUGGGGAUUAUUUGUUGAUUGCCAGCUGGAAUUUCAAUAAGAAACCGCGAAUGUCUAAGCCCCAACUGAUUACUAAGCAUUAUUUUGCAUUUGUGGAUGAUGUGUAAAAACUGUUAAAUAUAUCAGCAAUUGUAACUUCCA